Dromaius novaehollandiae (emu) is the source of this 2137-nucleotide long non-coding RNA. RefSeq lists it as uncharacterized. NCBI's taxonomy places the organism in Eukaryota, Metazoa, Chordata, Aves, Casuariiformes, Dromaiidae. The transcript has 7 exons. The record is from RefSeq and is a predicted model, not a curated record.
AGCUAAGGAAGGGUUGACCCUCAAACAGAAGGGUUUCAGAAAAGCUGUAGCUGGCCAUUUUAGACAUUUCCCCACUAGAUCAUUCCUAAGGCGAUGUUAAUGAAAAGAAGUACAAAAGAUAUGUAGGAAUGAUUCUCUGAACUUUUCAAAAAUUGGAUUUUUUUUGUUUUGUGUUUGCACGAAGUUAGGCCAAGAGCCUGGAGAAUCAAAGCUUGCCGUGAGCUGCUCUUAGACCUUUGCACCCACGAAGACACUGUUGCUGAAUCAGGUCUGUGGUUGUGUUUGCGCACACCCAAGAAACACACAUGUGCUGAUAGAAAACAGAUUUAAAAGGUACCUUGAAUAAUAGCUUUUUAAGACAGUGUUACAGUCAUAUAACUUGUUGGGAAAAGCACACCAUGGCUCACAGUCUGAAUUAAACAUGUGUCAUUGUGGCUAAGAAAAAAGGCUAUUACCUUCCACAAACCUGAUGUCUUGGACCAAAUCCCUCUCUGAACAGGUUGCACGCUGCCCUUUUCGAAAUCAAGCUAUCAGAAGAUGCCCUUCAGCAGAAGUGUUAAAAGGACUUGUUGCGAUCUGUGAGGAUUACUGGCUGGAGAAGCUGCAAGCUGAAUUCACACCAGCUGUCUGCGCUGGACUCAUCAGCAAGCAUCUCGAAACCAAAAAUGCCAAUUAUUGUAGAUAGCAUUGUACUUCUCAUAAAAGUUAUAGGAAAAUGUUCAAGAUCUCAGGGAUUCUCAAGCCGUGAAGAAUGCUUUCCAUCCUGCUGUAGCAAUAGACAAUUCUGGCAGUAGUUGAUUAGGUGACUUUGAAGAGGAACCAUAGUGAGCAUUGGAGGAAGGGACUUGGACACCGUCGUAGAGCUGAUGCUCCUCCGGGAUGUUAAUGCUGACCAGCAACGCUGGCACUCGUUUUUCGGAUGAGAGCAUGCCCGAAGCCCGACCUGCUAAAGCAAGCACUGCAGCAGGACUCUGAAGUAUGCACAGCGGAAGAGGGCGCGAGAGAAGAGGAAUGUGUGGUAUUGCUCUGCGUCGCUCUGGCACAAUUGUCCUGGUGGUACUGUUUCAGCUGGUGUAAUCGAGAACAGCCCUGUGGCUACGCGGAAGCACGUGGAGCUCCUUUUUCUGGCCCUUAUAUGGCACGCGAUCGCAGCCCGGCUGGUGGAGCUUGCAGCCGCUCUUCCUCGUUGCUCUCUCUAGGAGCAACGAGCACAAAUUUGACAUGUUUAGGAAUCUGGCCUCGUAUUUUAAAACUCCAUGCAAAUAUGGUAAUAAUAACGAAAGUGACAUUUGCUUUAGCUUCUGUAUAGUGUGUCUUUAAUAUGAUUACUACCCUUAACAUUUAAAGAAACUUUGACAGUUAUGUAAUCCCUUCAACAUUUAAGUACAACAGGAAUUUAUUAUUAAGCGCAGUGGCUGGAAAUGGAGCACUUUUUUCAUUCACACUAUAAACAGUUGUGUUGGAUUAGUAAUCCUGCUUGUCAGAGUUGUUCACUGUUUGAUAUUAAUCAGCAGGUUUAUGAAAGGUGCAAUAAAAGGCAGAAAUGAACAGUGAAGAAGUUGUAAACCUGGGUUCCAUAAAAUUAGUCUGUAUCUAACACUUAGGAUCACAACAUUUCUUGCACUGACCAUGAGAUUAAGGGGAAAGGAAGUACUACAUUAUGGUAAUGUACUCGUAACUAUCUUUUGCUAAACAUGUAUUUGGUUUCUCACAAUAUAAAUGCAAUAAUAGAUAGGAAAAACAAGACUUUUAAAAACAUUUUAGAUUGUUUUUUAAAGAGUGCAUUUUUCAGGCUGUUGUACAGAUCGAAUGAGAUACCACCUAGUAGAACUUCAUGAUCAAAUAUUACAUGAGAAAAUGAACACUAUCUCCUUCUGUUGCUUAUCCACUAUUAAAAUCAUGUGCAAAUCACUUCACCUGAAUAUUUCUAUCUAAUUUUGGGGUUGUUAUCUUUGAGCUACAUAAUUAAUUUCUGUAUCUUGCAAACUGUGUUGCACUAUAAGGUUUUUUUUCCUUUAGCACUGCAAAAUCUCUGCUACACAUUCAUACAGCAUGUACAGAGGAGCCACGUCCUUUGGUUGUAAAUGUCAUCUUGCAAGAUCUUUAGGUGAUCAAAGUGAAAAUGACACCAUUGUAA